GUGUGGGCACCCGGGGCUGGGGACAGGGCAGGGCUGGGACAGCGGGAUGGGACAGCAGGGCUGUGGAUGCAGCGUCCAUCCUGUGUCCAUCCCUGUGUCCAUCCCUCUGUCCAUCCUGUGUCCAUCCCUCUGUCCAUCCCUGUCCAUCCCUGUGUCCAUCCUGUGUCCAUCCCUCUGUCCAUCCCUGUGUCCCUCCCUGUCCCCCCCAUGUCCCUCCCUGUCCAUCCCUGUGUCCAUCCUCUGUCCAUCCCUGUGUCCAUCCCUGUCCAUCCUCUGUCCAUCCCUGUGUCCAUCCCUCUGUCCAUCCUGUGUCCAUCCCUGUGUCCAUCCCUGUGUCCAUCCCUGUCCAUCCCUGUGUCCAUCCUGUGUCCAUCCCUCUGUCCAUCCGUGUGUCCAUCCCAGUCCAUCCUCUGUCCAUCCCUGUCCCUCCCUGUCCAUCCCAUCCAUCCUGUGUCCAUCCCUCUGUCCAUCCCUGUCCAUCCCUGUGUCCCUCCCUGUCCCCCCCAUGUCCCUCCCUGUCCAUCCCUGUGUCCAUCCCUCUGUCCAUCCCUCUGUCCCCCCCAUGUCCCUCCCUGUCCAUCCCUCUGUCCAUCCCUGUCCGUCCCUCUGUCCGUCCCUGUCCCCUCCCCGCAGUGCCCAGAAGUGCCUGAUCCAGCCCAGCCCCCGCUGCCGCAGAAUUUGGGGCUGGGGGUUCCCAAAUCCCCCC
Molecule: long non-coding RNA, 706 nt
Filed under: Zonotrichia albicollis (white-throated sparrow)
Lineage: Eukaryota; Metazoa; Chordata; Aves; Passeriformes; Passerellidae
Description: lncRNA (ENSZALG00000001260.1)
Source: RNAcentral